GACGAACGCUGGCGGCGUGCUUAACACAUGCAAGUCGAGCGGUAAGGCCCUUUCGGGGGUACACGAGCGGCGAACGGGUGAGUAACACGUGGGUGACCUGCCCUCAGCUCUGGGAUAAGCCUGGGAAACUGGGUCUAAUACCGGAUAUGACUCCAUGACGCAUGUUGUGGGGUGGAAAGCCUUGUGCGGCUGAGGAUGGGCCCGCGGCCUAUCAGCUUGUUGGG
This 224-nucleotide ribosomal RNA is filed under the name uncultured bacterium. RNAcentral's name for it is "partial 16S ribosomal RNA". It matches the Rfam family "Bacterial small subunit ribosomal RNA", at positions 28 to 253 of the family's 1533-position model. The record is from RNAcentral.